This 253-nucleotide ribosomal RNA is filed under the name uncultured bacterium. RNAcentral describes it as "partial 16S ribosomal RNA". It matches the Rfam family "Bacterial small subunit ribosomal RNA", at positions 524 to 776 of the family's 1533-position model. The record is from RNAcentral.
UACGUAGGGGGCUAGCGUUGUCCGGAAUCAUUGGGCGUAAAGCGCGUGUAGGCGGCCCGGUAAGUCCGCUGUGAAAGUCGGGGGCUCAACCCUCGGAUGCCGGUAGAUACUGUCGGGCUAGAGUGCGGAAGAGGCGAGUGGAAUUCCUGGUGUAGCGGUGAAAUGCGCAGAUAUCAGGAGGAACACCAAUUGCGAAGGCAGCUCGCUGGGACGUGACUGACGCUGAGACGCGAAAGCGUGGGGAGCAAACAGG